RNAcentral lists this ribosomal RNA (497 nucleotides) under uncultured bacterium. Its description in RNAcentral is "partial 16S ribosomal RNA". It matches the Rfam family "Bacterial small subunit ribosomal RNA", at positions 28 to 507 of the family's 1533-position model. The record is from RNAcentral.
GAUGAACGCUGGCGGCGUGCCUAAUACAUGCAAGUCGAGCGAACAGAUAAGGAGCUUGCUCCUUUGACGUUAGCGGCGGACGGGUGAGUAACACGUGGGUAACCUACCUAUAAGACUGGAAUAACUCCGGGAAACCGGGGCUAAUGCCGGAUAACAUUUAGAACCGCAUGGUUCUAAAGUGAAAGAUGGUUUUGCUAUCACUUAUAGAUGGACCCGCGCCGUAUUAGCUAGUUGGUAAGGUAACGGCUUACCAAGGCAACGAUACGUAGCCGACCUGAGAGGGUGAUCGGCCACACUGGAACUGAGACACGGUCCAGACUCCUACGGGAGGCAGCAGUAGGGAAUCUUCCGCAAUGGGCGAAAGCCUGACGGAGCAACGCCGCGUGAGUGAUGAAGGUCUUCGGAUCGUAAAACUCUGUUAUUAGGGAAGAACAAAUGUGUAAGUAACUGUGCACGUCUUGACGGUACCUAAUCAGAAAGCUACGGCUAACUACGUG